RNAcentral lists this long non-coding RNA (935 nucleotides) under Homo sapiens (human). RNAcentral's name for it is "HSALNT0309488". The record is from RNAcentral. Lineage: Eukaryota; Metazoa; Chordata; Mammalia; Primates; Hominidae.
CCUCGCACGCGCUAAUGGCGCAGCUGGGCCCUCUUCCUCUGGCGGGGGUGAAAAUUCCCCUCCGGGGAAGCCCGAGGCGCUCGCUCCCCAAACUCUUUCGUCGGUGCGCGUGCUUAAAGCGGGCGGAUGAAGCGUUCUUGAAAGUGCCUACACCUUUUGAGAUGUGAUUCUGAGUUGUUCAUAGAAAAAGAAAAGACAUACCCUUCCGCAAAUUCAUCCCCAUAGUUUGCAACUUUCUACUUCAAAUUGGGGUUAUGGAUUUGGGGGAGGCAAAAAUAAGUUUAAAAAUUUCCAUUAAAGAGAUGUUCCUGUAAAACAAUGAUCAAGAAAAUGUUUAAAAGCAAACCUUAGCCAUAAAACUAAUACAAGUUCUUGGUAGAAGUUUGUUUUUGAGACGGAGUUUCGCUGUCGUUGCCCAGGCUGGAGUUCAGUGGCGCGAUCUCAGCUCACUGCAACUUCCGCCUCCCGCUUUCAAGCAAUUCUGCGUCAGUCUCCCUAUGAGCUGGGACUACAGGCGCCCACCACCACGCCCAGUUAAUUUUUGUAUUUUUAGUAGAGAAGGGGUUUCACCAUGUUGGCCAGGAUGGUCUCGAUAUAUUGACCUCGUGAUCUGCCCGCCUCAGCCUCCAAAAGUGCUGAGAUUACAGGUGUGAGCCACCGCGCCCGGCCAGUAGAAAUUUUUGAAAGAAAGAAUGGUAGUGUUCACCUUCCGUUUGCAGUAUGCCAGGCCCUGUUUUAAGUGCAUUAACUUUCAUAACCAGGUCCACGUGGAAGAACUGACACACAGAGAUAAGUACAGAAGUACUUAAAGGACGCGAAAGGACGAAUAGUCUUUUCCACCUUCCAGUACAGCCACUGUCUGAUUCAGUGGCAUGGUUCCUGCCAGCGCUCUUCCGUGCAUUAGGAAGUUUGGUUCAUGGUUUACAUACAUACUG